Molecule: non-coding RNA, 50 nt
Filed under: Sandaracinus amylolyticus
Lineage: Bacteria; Pseudomonadati; Myxococcota; Polyangiales; Sandaracinaceae
Description: Li+-I sequence
Rfam family: nhaA-I RNA
About the family: Acidobacteria, Alphaproteobacteria, Betaproteobacteria and Gammaproteobacteria, Verrucomicrobia, cand. division NC10. Downstream gene
Source: Rfam by way of RNAcentral
GGGUGCGGUGUCGUCGCCGCAGGUCACCCCGGCUGGUCGGGCCGCCAGCC